Molecule: unclassified non-coding RNA, 250 nt
Filed under: Hevea brasiliensis (rubber tree)
Lineage: Eukaryota; Viridiplantae; Streptophyta; Magnoliopsida; Malpighiales; Euphorbiaceae
Source: RNAcentral
UCUCAGUCAGCAUAUAGGCGAGCUGGAGACGACAAUAGAGCAAACGAAAAGUAAAAUUGUUGAUUUUGGUGAUACUAGCAAUUUGGAGGUGCUUGAUCAGUUCAAUCAUGUCUCGGAAUCCCUAAGUGAAGAUGAAGAUUCAUCUUUAGAGUCUGGUGAUGACGAGGAUGAAGAUCCUGAAUGGGAAAAUGAUGACGAUUCAGAGUACUCCAGUCUUGAGGACGAUGAAACAGGAUAACAACACUUCAUG